GCCAGCAGCUGUAGCACGUUGAAUGCACCCAGUUCCCCAUAGGUCAUUAAAGUUCAGCAACCUAGUGCGUGGUUAGUAUACGGAUGGGUGACCGUCUGAACAAUCCCGUGCUGCUGGCU
This 119-nucleotide ribosomal RNA is filed under the name Diaphorina citri (Asian citrus psyllid). The record is from RNAcentral. Lineage: Eukaryota; Metazoa; Arthropoda; Insecta; Hemiptera; Psyllidae.